RNAcentral lists this ribosomal RNA (478 nucleotides) under uncultured bacterium. RNAcentral describes it as "partial 16S ribosomal RNA". It matches the Rfam family "Bacterial small subunit ribosomal RNA", at positions 28 to 523 of the family's 1533-position model. The record is from RNAcentral.
GACGAACGCUGGCGGCGUGCUUAACGCAUGCAAGUCGAACGGCAAGGCCCUUCGGGGUACACGAGUGGUGAACGGGUGAGUAACACGUGGGUGAUCUGCCCUGCACUUCGGGAUAAGCCUGGGAAACUGGGUCUAAUACCGGAUAGGACCCUGGGAUGCAUGUCCUGGGGUGGAAAGCUUUUGCGGUGUGGGAUGGGCCCGCGGCCUAUCAGCUUGUUGGUGGGGUGAUGGCCUACCAAGGCGACGACGGGUAGCCGGCCUGAGAGGGUGACCGGCCACACUGGGACUGAGAUACGGCCCAGACUCCUACGGGAGGCAGCAGUGGGGAAUAUUGCACAAUGGGCGCAAGCCUGAUGCAGCGACGCCGCGUGAGGGAUGACGGCCUUCGGGUUGUAAACCUCUUUCAGCACCGACGAAGCGCAAGUGACGGUAGGUGCAGAAGAAGGACCGGCCAACUACGUGCCAGCCGCCGCCGUAA